UGAACCAGCAAUUUGGAGGAAUGAAUAUAUUGUUGGGUUAAUAAAGUUCUAGAUAGUGAUGAUAAUGACAUUUUUAGUCUAUAUGUCUUGACCAAAUCUCGUGCCAGCAGUCGCGGUAAUACGAGGAAGACUAGUGUUAUUCAUGUUUAUUAGGUUUAAAGGGUACCUAGACGGUAUAUAUAGCCCCUAAAGGGUACUUAUUUACUAGAGUUUUAGGUGAGAAGAUGAGUAUUUUAGGUGUAGAGAUGAAAUUUUUUGAUGCCUUAAGGACUGGUAAAGGCGAAAGCGAUCUUCUAUGUAAAAACUGACGUUGAGGAACGAAGGCCUGGGUAGCGACUAGGAUUAGAUACCCUAAUAGUCCAGGGAGAAAAUUAUGAAUGUCAUAGAUUAAGUUUACUUAGUAUAUAAAUGAAAGUGUAAGCAUUCCACCUCAAGAGUAAUGUGGCAACGCAGGAACUGAAAUCAUUAGACCGUUUUUGAGACCAGUAGUGAUGUAUGUUAUUUAAUUCGAUGAUCCACGAAAAACCUUACCACAAUUUGUAUCUUACAAGUGUUGCACGGCUGUCUUCAGUUAGUGUCGUGAGAUUAUGGUUAGUUUCAUUAAAUUGACGAAAACCCUUGCUUUAUUUUAUUUAUAUAAAGCAGUUACAUCUGUAUAGAUUUGUUAAGAGGGAUUAAGACAAGUCAUCAUGACCUUAAUAUUGUGGGCUAUAGACGUGCCACAUAUUCCUAUACAAAGAGAUGCAAAAUUGUAAAUUAGAGCUAAUCUCAUAAAGUA
Molecule: ribosomal RNA, 778 nt
Filed under: Aphanopsis coenosa
Lineage: Eukaryota; Fungi; Ascomycota; Lecanoromycetes; Lecanorales; Aphanopsidaceae
Description: SSU rRNA
Rfam family: Bacterial small subunit ribosomal RNA
Source: RNAcentral